CCUACGGGUGGCAGCAGUGGGGGAUAUUGCACAAUGGGGGGAACCCUGAUGCAGCGACGCCGCGUGGGUGAAGGAGUGCUUCGGCAUGUAAAGCCCUAUCGGCAGGGAAGAAGCAAGACGGUACCUGACUAAGAAGCCCCGGCUAACUACGUGCCAGCAGCCGCGGUAAUACGUAGGGGGCGAGCGUUAUCCGGAUUCACUGGGUGUAAAGGGAGCGUAGACGGCCAAACAAGCCAGGGGUGAAAUCGCGGGGCUCAACCCCGCCGAGCCGUCGGAACUGGGGGCCUUGAGUGCGGCGGAGGCAUGCGGAAUGCGCGGUGUAGCGGUGAAAUGCAUAGAUAUCGCGCAGAACCCCGAUUGCGAAGGCAGCGUGCCGUGCCGCCACUGACGCUGAGGCACGAAAGCGCGGGGAUCGAACAGGAUUAGAUACCCUAGUAGUC
RNAcentral lists this ribosomal RNA (440 nucleotides) under uncultured bacterium. RNAcentral describes it as "partial 16S ribosomal RNA". It matches the Rfam family "Bacterial small subunit ribosomal RNA", at positions 338 to 795 of the family's 1533-position model. The record is from RNAcentral.